Molecule: long non-coding RNA, 452 nt
Organism: Mauremys reevesii (Reeves's turtle)
Lineage: Eukaryota; Metazoa; Chordata; Testudines; Geoemydidae
Exons: 3
Source: RefSeq, a predicted model, not a curated record
UCUAGCAGGGGAGCCCGAACCUGCUCCCCACCUGCUUAACACAGGAGCUUUUCUAUAGUGUAAGUCAGUAGUUCUCAACCCAGGGUACCUGCACUCCUGGGGGUGCACAGACCUCUUCCAUCAACUCAUCUAGAGAUUUGCCUGGUUUUACAACAGGCUACAUACAAAGCACUAGCGAAGUCAGGACAAACUAACAUUUCAUACAAUGACCUGUUCGUACUGCUCUGUACACUGAAAUGGGAUGCCUCAUGCAUGACAUGGUGUCCUGAUGUGAAGAUUCAAAUAUCACUCCAGGGUGAGCUAGAGAAUCAGACACAUGCAGCUUCAACCUAUUGACUCUGUCUACAAAGAUCUGGAAUCAGGCACCUUUCCCGUUGGAAACGAUUGAAAUGGAGUGAAGACUGCAGGUUCCCCCUUCCACAACACCCCCUCUCUUCUCCAGCAGCACCUUU